This 350-nucleotide ribosomal RNA is filed under the name uncultured Prevotella sp. RNAcentral's name for it is "bacterial SSU rRNA". It matches the Rfam family "Bacterial small subunit ribosomal RNA", at positions 1 to 339 of the family's 1533-position model. Lineage: Bacteria; Pseudomonadati; Bacteroidota; Bacteroidia; Bacteroidales; Prevotellaceae. The record is from RNAcentral.
AGUAGUUUGAUCCUGGCUCGAGGACGAACGCUGGCGGCGCGCCUAACACAUGCAAGUCGAACGAAGAGUGGUUUUUGAUUCCUUCGGGAUGAUUAUUCCAUUUCUUAGUGGCGGACGGGUGAGUAACACGUGAGCAACCUGCCUUGCAGUGGGGGAUAACGGUUGGAAACGAUCGCUAAUACCUCAUAAUAUAUGAUUGUCGCAUGGCUUUCAUAUCAAAGUUUUUCGCUGCAAGAUGGGCUCGCGUCUGAUUAGGUUGCAGGCGGGGUAACGGCCCACCUGGCCGACGAUCAGUAGGGGUUCUGAGAGGAAGGUCCCCCACAUUGGAACUGAGACACGGUCCAAACUCC